CAGGGAAUCUUGCACAAUGGGCGAAAGCCUGAUGCAGCGACGCCGCGUGGGGGAUGAAGGCCCUAGGGUCGUAAACCCCUUUCAGCAGGGACGAAGAUGACGGUACCUGCAGAAGAAGCCCCGGCCAACUACGUGCCAGCAGCCGCGGUAAGACGUAGGGGGCGAGCGUUGUCCGGAUUUAUUGGGCGUAAAGAGCUCGUAGGCGGUUGCGUAAGUCGGAUGUGAAAACUCAGGGCUCAACCCUGAGACGCCAUCCGAUACUGCGCUGACUUGAAUCCAGUAGGGGAGUGCGGAAUUCCUGGUGUAGCGGUGAAAUGCGCAGAUAUCAGGAGGAACACCCAUGGCGAAGGCAGCACUCUGGGCUGGUAUUGACGCUGAGGAGCGAAAGCAUGGGUAGCGAACAGGAUUAGAUACCCAAGUAGUCCCUGAGCGGGCUGGCAAGGCGCAU
RNAcentral lists this ribosomal RNA (448 nucleotides) under uncultured bacterium. RNAcentral's name for it is "bacterial SSU rRNA". It matches the Rfam family "Bacterial small subunit ribosomal RNA", at positions 355 to 825 of the family's 1533-position model. The record is from RNAcentral.